AUUUAUAAGAAUAUGAUGUUGGUUCAGAUUAAGCGCUAAAUAAGGACAUGACACAUGCGAAUCAUACGUUUAUUAUUGAUAAGAUAAUAAAUAUGUGGUGUAAACGUGAGUAAUUUUAUUAGGAAUUAAUGAACUAUAGAAUAAGCUAAAUACUUAAUAUAUUAUUAUAUAAAAAUAAUUUAUAUAAUAAAAAGGAUAUAUAUAUAAUAUAUAUUUAUCUAUAGUCAAGCCAAUAAUGGUUUAGGUAGUAGGUUUAUUAAGAGUUAAACCUAGCCAACGAUCCAUAAUCGAUAAUGAAAGUUAGAACGAUCACGUUGACUCUGAAAUAUAGUCAAUAUCUAUAAGAUACAGCAGUGAGGAAUAUUGGACAAUGAUCGAAAGAUUGAUCCAGUUACUUAUUAGGAUGAUAUAUAAAAAUAUUUUAUUUUAUUUAUAAAUAUUUAAUAUUUAUAAUAAUAAUAAUAAUAAUAUAUAUAUAUAAAUUGAUUAAAAAUAAAAUCCAUAAAUAAUUAAAAUAAUGAUAUUAAUUACCAUAUAUAUUUUUAUAUGGAUAUAUAUAUUAAUAAUAAAAUUAAUUUAUUAUUAUUAAUAAUAUAUUUUAAUAGUCCUGACUAAUAUUUGUGCCAGCAGUCGCGGUAACACAAAGAGGGCGAGCGUUAAUCAUAAUGGUUUAAAGGAUCCGUAGAAUGAAUUAUAUAUUAUAAUUUAGAGUUAAUAAAAUUAAUUAAAGAAUUAUAAUAGUAAAGAUGAAAUAAUAAUAAUAAUUAUAAGACUAAUAUAUGUGAAAAUAUUAAUUAAAUAUUAACUGACAUUGAGGGAUUAAAACUAGAGUAGCGAAACGGAUUCGAUACCCGUGUAGUUCUAGUAGUAAACUAUGAAUACAAUUAUUUAUAAUAUAUAUUAUAUAUAAAUAAUAAAUGAAAAUGAAAGUAUUCCACCUGAAGAGUACGUUAGCAAUAAUGAAACUCAAAACAAUAGACGGUUACAGACUUAAGCAGUGGAGCAUGUUAUUUAAUUCGAUAAUCCACGACUAACCUUACCAUAUUUUGAAUAUUAUAAUAAUUAUUAUAAUUAUUAUAUUACAGGCGUUACAUUGUUGUCUUUAGUUCGUGCUGCAAAGUUUUAGAUUAAGUUCAUAAACGAACAAAACUCCAUAUAUAUAAUUUUAAUUAUAUAUAAUUUUAUAUUAUUUAUUAAUAUAAAGAAAGGAAUUAAGACAAAUCAUAAUGAUCCUUAUAAUAUGGGUAAUAGACGUGCUAUAAUAAAAUGAUAAUAAAAUUAUAUAAAAUAUAUUUAAUUAUAUUUAAUUAAUAAUAUAAAACAUUUUAAUUUUUAAUAUAUUUUUUUAUUAUAUAUUAAUAUGAAUUAUAAUCUGAAAUUCGAUUAUAUGAAAAAAGAAUUGCUAGUAAUACGUAAAUUAGUAUGUUACGGUGAAUAUUCUAACUGUUUCGCACUAAUCACUCAUCACGCGUUGAAACAUAUUAUUAUCUUAUUAUUUAUAUAAUAUUUUUUAAUAAAUAUUAAUAAUUAUUAAUUUAUAUUUAUUUAUAUCAGAAAUAAUAUGAAUUAAUGCGAAGUUGAAAUACAGUUACCGUAGGGGAACCUGCGGUGGGCUUAUAAAUAUC
RNAcentral lists this non-coding RNA (1625 nucleotides) under Saccharomyces cerevisiae (brewer's yeast). RNAcentral describes it as "ribosomal RNA". It matches the Rfam family "Bacterial small subunit ribosomal RNA". The record is from RNAcentral. Lineage: Eukaryota; Fungi; Ascomycota; Saccharomycetes; Saccharomycetales; Saccharomycetaceae.